Molecule: non-coding RNA, 2695 nt
Organism: Leptonychotes weddellii (Weddell seal)
Lineage: Eukaryota; Metazoa; Chordata; Mammalia; Carnivora; Phocidae
Source: RefSeq, a predicted model, not a curated record
GCGUUUUUCCUACUUUUCCCCCUUCCUGUUCCCAGCUGAAGGGUUUGAUCCGCCAAAGAAGAAAAAAAAAAAAAUGAUCGUAGUAAGUUAACACAAUUUUAAAGAAGUAAGAAUGGGGACUUCUUCUGUUCUUGUAGGGCUGUCUCCACAUGAAUCCUGCUGAGAGACUGACAUGUGAACAGCUGUUACAGCAUCCAUAUUUUGACAGCAUCAGAGAAAUGGGGGCUUCAACCAAAGAGCUUGACCGACCGAUAAGGAAGACCCUAAGACAGAGCCGAAAGCACCUGCCUGGGUUGCAGGGCCUACCUCAGCUGACCAGCAGCAGCUUCCUUCCAGCUUUGGAUAAUAAGAAGUACUACUGGAAUAUGAAGAAACUGAACUACCAAUUUCCAAACAUUUAAGGAGCUUGGAGAUGGAUGAUGAAAAAGGAGUUAAUAAUUUGGAGAAAAUAAAAUGUAUACGUUUGCUUGAAAACAAUCAUGAUGUUGAAAGAACAUUAGGAGAAUACAUAAGUAAUAAACGUUGGGGGGGGGGUUGGGGAGAGGGGGGAGGCCACCUGGCAGAACAGAAAGGGAAAUUCUAGAGGCAGCCUUCCAGGCUUCACGAUGGUGAUCAGAAUGGAAAGGAAACACUUGUUUGGAUUUUCACUUGCAUUUUUGUUGUAUAUAAGUAGCUGAGCUAAAGGACAGAAAUAAAAACUGUACUUACUACCCCUAUCUCUGGCAAAAUUAGAAAUGUAAGAAGGAUUUAUACUUCUAUUGUACCAUAUGCAACAAGUGAAAAAUGGAUUACAAAAUACCCAUAUGUAUUUCUUGCAGAGCUUUUGCCUUGAGUCCUAUCCCCUGCCUUUUCAGACUGUCUCAACAUCAUAUUUAAGAAGAGUUUUAGUUCCUGAAAUCAAAAUGCUUACAAUUCUAUUUCCUGCUUGCUCUAUCUCCUGCUUUUCAUAUUUUAAAACAUUUUUAGAAUAUUUAAGAGUUCAAAAUACUUAAAAUCAUGGAUUAUCGUUAACAGCAUGACUUGCUUGCAUAUUUAAUUAUGUUUAUAGACAUUUCUUACAUAUACUUUUGUCUUUACCUUUAGUAAAGGCUGCACCUUAGUCAUUUUUGCAGGCAAGAUGGGUUUACAUAACCCCUCUCCAGGUGACCCAGUUCCCCUUGCAAACCAUGAUGUGAAGCCUGGCAGCUGACCAAGGCUUGAAUCAAGGAGUAGAACAAGACCUACAGGCUUCACGGGAACCGAGCCUAUCAGCCUGAAAGUAAUUAGUUCUUCAUUCUCUCCAGCUCCGCCUCAGACUUGGAGACAGAUCUACAGGCAGGACUAUCUAUAAUGAUCUGGGUUUUGGAAGAAAUUGCUUGUGGGUUUUUACUCGGACCAUAAAAGACAUUAGGUUGUAAACUGAGAUUGUCCCUGAAAUGCCUUUUAAUACUGUAUGUAUGUAUGUGUGUAUAUAUAUACACACAUACAUAUAAAUACCUACACGUGUGUGUGUGUAUACAUAUACUAUGCUAAGAACUGGUAACAACUAAUAAGAAAGGAGUCCAAAAUGAUACUGAGGAUUCCUAGCUUUGUCUCGUGAUACUUCAAAGGAUGACAUAUAAUUAGCUUUGACUUGGCCUGCCGCUCCUGUUCCAAACGCUUUCUCAUCCUCGUCCCUGAACACAAGGGCAAGAUAAAGCUCAUGUCCACUGCCAGUUUCGGUUGAUGUGCUGCUGCUUCUUCCUCAGUGGUUCCCAGCCAUGCUCUUUGAAACUGUAUUUUACUGUCUCUUCAAAACCUUCCUUCUGUGCUCUGGUAACUUCCUUCCUGACAGCAUUUGACUUUAUUCACUUAGUCCUAAGUAACUCACCAAAUUCGGGAGUGUGUUCAAUAAUUUUCGCUACUCCAGCCAGUUGAAUGAUACCCUGAGGCUCCCGGAUGUAUGUAGCUUCUGGCGAAGAGCUGACAGGGGUUAAAUACUAGUCCCAGCAGUAUCUAAUUCUUCUCACGUGGCUUUGAUUCAAAUGACAAGGAAGGACAUCCCACUUCUGUUCACAUUUUCUGUUUUCCUUUUUAACCCAAAACAAUGCACUUGACAGGCAGAUGACUGUAACUGCCUAAUUCAUUCAGUAGUUUUAUAGAAAACCAUUCAGAAUACAGAAGUAGUUCUAGACUAAAUUGUGGUAAAUCCAUUGCCUCACCACACAAUAAUCAAACAAAUCUGAGAUGGAAGCGUUCAUUUUUUCUAAUGAGUUCUAUUAAAUGUGUACCAAUGCUUAAUUUAACCACAUCUGUAGUCCUUCAUUCAGCAUGGAUUCACCACUGUUUCACAUGAGACUGUUCUACAUCCUAGUCUUGUUUUUUUUUUAAUUUACUGUGUUCUGAUUUUUUAAUUGACAGUGGCAAUUUUAUUUGUAAAUAGUAUAUCAAUUAUGGCAUGUGCUAUUUACAUAAGCUGGCUUCUAAACACAACUAAAAUUCAUUUUUCUACCCAAAUGCUGCAUCAUACAGUGUUUAUUUUAAAAUUAUUUCUAGUCAAGGUUAUAGUUAAGAGCAUAAUGUUCAAACCAAACAUACAGAAAUCUACAAACAAGUUGGCAUAUAAUUAACAGUAAUAGAACCAGGGGCAUUUCAAGGUAAAAAUAAAGAUCUGUUUUUAUCCAUAUAUGAUAUUCUUUGUCACUGCUCUCUAGAUAUAAACUGAAUUUUGCGCUUA